Molecule: ribosomal RNA, 492 nt
Filed under: uncultured bacterium
Lineage: Bacteria
Description: partial 16S ribosomal RNA
Rfam family: Bacterial small subunit ribosomal RNA
Source: RNAcentral
AUUGAACGCUGGCGGCAUGCUUUACACAUGCAAGUCGAACGGUAACAGGCCUUCGGGUGCUGCUGAGUGGCGAACGGGUGCGUAAUGCAUCGGAAUGUGCCCAGAGGUGGGGGUUAACGCAGCGAAAGCUGUGCUAAUACACCCUGUGAUCUGAGGCUGCAUGCGGGGGACAAGGCAGCAACUUUUGGCCUCGCGCCUUUGGAGCGGCCGAUGUCUGAUUAGGUAGUUGGUGGGGUAAAGGCCUACCAAGCCGACGAUCUGUAGCUGGUCUGAGAGGACGACCAGCCACACUUGGACUGGAAAACGGGCCAGGCUCCCACGGGAGGCAGCAGGUGGGAAUUUUGGACAAUGGGGGGAAACCUGAUCCAGCAAAGCCGCGUGCGGGAAGGAGGCCUUCGGGUUUGAAACCGCUUUUGGACGGAACGAAAAGGCUCUGGCUAAUACCUGGGGCUGAUGACGGUACCGUAAGAAUAAGGAACGGCUUACUACGGU